AUUGAACGGCGCGGAAUGCUUUACACAUGCAAGUCGAACGGCAGCACGGAGAGCUUGCUCUCUGGUGGCGAGUGGCGAACGGGUGAGUAAUAUAUCGGAACGUGUCCAAUAAUGGGGGAUAACGAGUCGAAAGAUUCGCUAAUACCGCAUACGCCCUACGGGGGAAAGCAGGGGAUCGUAAGACCUUGCGUUAAUGGAGCGGCCGAUAUCUGAUUAGCUUGUUGGUGAGGUAAAGGCUCACCAAGGCGACGAUCAGUAGCUGGUUUGAGAGAACGACCAGCCACACUGGAACUGAGACACGGUCCAGACUCCUACGGGAGGCAGCAGUGGGGAAUUUUGGACAAUGGGGGCAACCCUGAUCCAGCCAUUCCGCGUGAGUGAAGAAGGCCUUCGGGUUGUAAAGCUCUUUCGCAAGGGAAGAAAACUUAUGAUCGAAUAAAUCAUGAGGUUGACGGUACCUUGAUAAGAAGCACCGGCUAACUACGUGCCAGCAGCCGCGGUAAUACGUAGGGUGCGAGCGUUAAUCGGAAUUACUGGGCGUAAAGCGUGCGCAGGCGGUUUUGUAAGUCGGAUGUGAAAUCCCCGGGCUCAACCUGGGAACUGCGUUCGAAACUGCAAGGCUAGAGUGUGUCAGAGGGGGGUAGAAUUCCACGUGUAGCAGUGAAAUGCGUAGAGAUGUGGAGGAAUACCAAUGGCGAAGGCAGCCCCCUGGGAUAACAC
Molecule: ribosomal RNA, 720 nt
Filed under: uncultured bacterium
Lineage: Bacteria
Description: bacterial SSU rRNA
Rfam family: Bacterial small subunit ribosomal RNA
Source: RNAcentral